This 63-nucleotide transfer RNA is filed under the name Neobisnius villosulus. Its description in RNAcentral is "tRNA-Asp". Lineage: Eukaryota; Metazoa; Arthropoda; Insecta; Coleoptera; Staphylinidae. The record is from RNAcentral.
AAAAACUUAGUUAAAUAAUAACAUUAGAUUGUCGAACUAAAAUUAUCUUUUAGAUAGUUUUUA